Molecule: ribosomal RNA, 322 nt
Filed under: uncultured Spirochaetota bacterium
Lineage: Bacteria; Pseudomonadati; Spirochaetota
Description: bacterial SSU rRNA
Rfam family: Bacterial small subunit ribosomal RNA
Source: RNAcentral
GACGAACGCUGGCGGCGUGGAUUAGGCAUGCAAGUCGAACGGUAGAGUGCUUUCGGGCACUUGAGAGUGGCGAACGGGUGAGUAACACGUAGGUUAUCUACCCUCAAAUUGGGGACAACCCAGGGAAACUUGGGCUAAUACCGAAUGAGUGCAGCAGCAAUGUUGCAUAAAAGAUGGCGUAAGCUGUUGUUUGAGGAUGAGCCUGCGCUCUAUUAGUUAGUUGGUGAGGUAACGGCUUACCAAGGCGAUGAUAGAUAGGCGGCCUUAACGGGUGGUCGCCCACACUGGGAUUGAGAUACGGCCCAGACUCCUACGGGAGCUG